GUAAAGUAAUCUGUGACCAAAAAAACACACCCAGCCAUGGCUACAUCCCUAAGCACACCAAAACUCAGCACAACAACUUUUCAGAGUCUCUACAAAACCAAAUUCUCUUCCUUCUCUCUUCUCUCUCUCUCUAAUAACAACCCCAUCAUCAAACCCCGUAUUACCCCAUCAUCAUCAUUAUCUUAUGGCCGUCGAUUCACUACCCCUCGUGCUGAGUCAUCAUCAUCAUCAUCCACCAAUGGCGACCCUCCACGUCACUACGACUUUGACUUGUUUACAAUAGGCGCAGGUAGUGGUGGAGUUAGGGCUUCACGUUUUGCAUCUAAUUUUGGGGCUAAUGUUGCUGUUUGUGAGAUGCCUUUCUCUACUAUUUCUUCUGAUUCUACUGGUGGCGUUGGUGGCACGUGUGUGCUGCGUGGAUGUGUACCCAAGAAAUUACUCGUGUACGCAUCAAAAUAUUCUCAUGAGUUUGAGGAGAGUUGUGGUUUCGGAUGGAGUUAUGAGGCGGAACCUAAACAUGAUUGGAGCACCCUCAUUGCUAAUAAAAAUGCCGAGUUGCAGCGCCUAACGGGUAUUUACAAGAAUAUUCUGAAGAAUGCCAAUGUUACACUGAUUGAAGGGCGAGGAAAGGUUGUGGAUCCUCAUACGGUGGAUGUGGAUGGAAAACUCUACUCGGCUAAGAACAUACUAAUUUCAGUUGGGGGCCGUCCAUUUAUCCCAGACGUUCCUGGAAGCGAGUAUGCUAUAGAUUCUGAUGCUGCCCUUGAUUUGCCAACGAAGCCUAACAAAAUUGCCAUUGUUGGAGGCGGUUACAUUGCAGUUGAAUUUGCUGGAAUCUUCAAUGGCUUGAAAAGUGAGGUCCAUGUUUUUAUAAGACAAAAGAAGGUUCUGAGAGGCUUUGAUGAAGAAAUCAGGGAUUUUGUUGGUGAACAGAUGUCAUUGAGAGGAAUUGAGUUCCAUACCGAGGAGUCGCCUCAGGCUAUUGUCAAGUCAGCAGAUGGCUCACUGUCAUUAAAGACUAACAGAGGAACAGUUGAAGGUUUCUCUCAUAUCAUGUUUGCAACAGGACGAAGACCAAAUACAAAGAAUUUAGGAUUAGAUACAGUAGGAGUGAAAAUGACAAAGAAUGGAGCCAUAGAGGUUGACGAGUAUUCUCGUACAUCAGUGCCAUCAAUUUGGGCAGUUGGAGAUGUUACUGAUAGAAUUAAUUUAACUCCAGUUGCUUUGAUGGAGGGAGGAGCUUUGGCAAAAACUAUUUUUGCUGAUGAACCCACAAAACCCGAUUAUAGGAAUGUACCAUGUGCAGUAUUUUCCCAACCACCUAUUGGACUAGUUGGUCUGACGGAAGAAGAGGCCAUCAAAGAAUAUGGCGACAUUGAUGUUUAUACAGCAAAUUUUAGGCCAUUAAAAGCUACUAUUUCUGGUCUUCCAGAUCGGGUCUUCAUGAAACUAAUAGUAUGUGCAAAGUCAAGCAAAGUUCUGGGGUUGCACAUGUGUGGAGAUGAUGCACCAGAAAUUGUACAGGGAUUUGCGGUUGCAGUAAAAGCCGGGUUGACCAAAGCGGACUUUGAUGCCACUGUGGGUAUUCACCCUACAUCAGCAGAGGAGUUUGUCACCAUGCGAACCCCUACAAGGAAGGUUCGAAGUAGUCCAUCUGAGGUAAAAGAUGUGCAACAGAAAUUCACAUGAAGUGCGUCUUCUGAUAAGGGUAAGGCAGAGCACGACAUUAAAGCUGCCGCCGGAGUUUGAUGUGCGGCGAUAAAGGCUCAAUUUGUUGAAUGACAUUGAAGAAUACAUGUGGAGCUAGAAGCUUGAGAUGUUUGAAGUGGUGGAUGGAGGAAUAUACUGCCUAUGGUACAAUUUUGAAAGAGGUUUUAGACUGAUUGGGAGCUUAUGGAACAUCAGUUAUGGACUCACACAUGCAAAAAACUAUCUCAACAGCGAGUCGCUAAUACUUGUCGGAACAAAUGCUAACUUUACUACUUGAAAAAGUGCCUUCAAGGUGGUUGUGCUGAUGCUAGAUAUGCAUUCAUCCAUUGGCUUGCAUCUUGUCAACAAUAUUUCCUUUUAUCAAAGUAACAGGUUUAAACAUUUUCUGUCCAAAUUUUCCUUAGGGGGGUCCAGAGGGAUUGACUACUAAUAUCUCGAUAAUGUUUUCUCUAUUAUUGUACUUUUCUGCUGGGGUUUGAGGCCACAUUUGGGCAGUGUAAUUAUAACAUUGCUUAUUAGAUAUUGUUUCCGUGUAACGAUAAAAUUAGUUGAUAUUCUGCAAUAAAAGCAGUUAAGCAGAUUGCUCAA
RNA transcript from Lycium barbarum (goji berry), 2298 nucleotides. It is a transcript of the gene named glutathione reductase, chloroplastic, with no coding region annotated. The record is from RefSeq and is a predicted model, not a curated record. NCBI's taxonomy places the organism in Eukaryota, Viridiplantae, Streptophyta, Magnoliopsida, Solanales, Solanaceae. The transcript has 13 exons.